AUUGAACGCUGGCGGCAGGCCUAACACAUGCAAGUCGAGCGGAUGAAGGGAGCUUGCUCCUGGAUUCAGCGGCGGACGGGUGAGUAAUGCCUAGGAAUCUGCCUGGUCGUGGGGGAUAACGUCCGGAAACGGGCGCUAAUCUCGCAUACGUCCUGAGGGUGAAAGUGGGGGUUCUUCGGACCUAACGCUAUCUGAUGAGCCUAGGUCGGAUUAGCUAGUUGGUGGGGUAAAGGCCUACCAAGGCGACGAUCCGUAACUGGUCUGAGAGGAUGAUCGGUCACACUGGAACUGAGACACGGUCCAGACUCCUACGGGAGGCAGCAGUAGGGAAUCUUGGACAAUGGGCGAAAGCCUGAUCCAGCCAUGCCGCGUGUGUGAAGAAGGUCUUCGGAUUGUAAAGCACUUUAAGUUGGGAGGAAGGUCAGUAAAUUAAUACCUGGCUGUUUUGACGUUACCAAAAGAAAAAGCACCGGCUAACUUCGUG
RNAcentral lists this ribosomal RNA (484 nucleotides) under uncultured bacterium. RNAcentral's name for it is "partial 16S ribosomal RNA". It matches the Rfam family "Bacterial small subunit ribosomal RNA", at positions 30 to 507 of the family's 1533-position model. The record is from RNAcentral.